UACGUAGGGACCGAGCGUUGUCCGGAUUCAUUGGGCGUAAAGAGCUCGUAGGCGGCCACUCAAGUCGAAUGUGAAACCUCGAGGCUUAACCUCGAGCCUGCAUUCGAUACUGGGUGGCUAGAGUCUGGUAGGGGGAUCUGGAAUUCCUGGUGUAGCGGUGGAAUGCGUAGAUAUCGAGAGGAACACCUGCGGCGAAGGCGGGUAGCUGGGCCGACACUGACGCUGAGGCGCGAAAGCCAGGGGAGCGAACGGG
This 253-nucleotide ribosomal RNA is filed under the name uncultured bacterium. RNAcentral's name for it is "partial 16S ribosomal RNA". It matches the Rfam family "Bacterial small subunit ribosomal RNA", at positions 524 to 776 of the family's 1533-position model. The record is from RNAcentral.